ACAACAACUUACUGUAAGUCGCUUUGGAUAAAAGCAUCAGCUAAAUGACAUGUA
This is a regulatory RNA element of Gasterosteus aculeatus (three-spined stickleback), 54 nucleotides long. It matches the Rfam family "UnaL2 LINE 3' element". From Rfam's summary of the family: The eel long interspersed element (LINE) UnaL2 and its partner short interspersed element (SINE) share a conserved 3' tail containing a stem-loop that is critical for their retrotransposition. Presumably, the first step of retrotransposition is the recognition of their 3' tails by UnaL2-encoded reverse transcriptase. NCBI's taxonomy places the organism in Eukaryota, Metazoa, Chordata, Actinopteri, Perciformes, Gasterosteidae. The record is from Rfam.